CGCGAACCGGCGUUUCAGUGAAUAAAUCGGCGGACUUCUAAUCCGCGGGUCGGAGGUUCGAAUCCUCCCGGGCGCGU
This 77-nucleotide transfer RNA is filed under the name Actinomycetota bacterium. RNAcentral describes it as "tRNA-Arg". The stretch from base 10 to 76 matches the Rfam family "tRNA". From Rfam's summary of the family: Transfer RNA (tRNA) molecules are approximately 80 nucleotides in length. Their secondary structure includes four short double-helical elements and three loops (D, anti-codon, and T loops). Further hydrogen bonds mediate the characteristic L-shaped molecular structure. tRNAs have two regions of fundamental functional importance: the anti-codon, which is responsible for specific mRNA codon recognition, and the 3' end, to which the tRNAs corresponding amino acid is attached (by aminoacyl-tRNA synthetases). tRNAs cope with the degeneracy of the genetic code in two manners: having more than one tRNA (with a specific anti-codon) for a particular amino acid; and 'wobble' base-pairing, i.e. permitting non-standard base-pairing at the 3rd anti-codon position. The record is from RNAcentral. Lineage: Bacteria; Bacillati; Actinomycetota.